RNAcentral lists this long non-coding RNA (768 nucleotides) under Olea europaea (common olive). RNAcentral's name for it is "long non-coding RNA (OEUR_LNC000442)". Lineage: Eukaryota; Viridiplantae; Streptophyta; Magnoliopsida; Lamiales; Oleaceae. The record is from RNAcentral.
GAAUAAGUUGGUGCUGAGGGUGGUGAUGAUGAAGAAGGCAGUGAAGAUUACUAAAGUAUACGGCAUCUAAUAAGUUCAUGCGAUUGUGAGAGUUGGGUUGCUGCUGUGUAAUAUCAUGUUCUGUGUAUAACUUGUUCUCAAACAUCUGAGAAGAAAAUAGUGUUAAAAUUGUAAAUUCAAUUUCUGAUCAAGUGUGCUAAUCAUGAUAUCAAAAACAAUGGUUUGUCGAUGAACUUGCAUAUAUUCUUCCGAACAGCAAAAAAAAAGUCAAAUUACCUAUAAGUUGCAUUUUUUCUUCAAGAAUCUUUACAAUCUUCCUAUCUUUACAAAUAAAAUUUGGAUAAUUAAUAAUCUGAUUUAUGAACAAUUCUCAGAAUCUCUCCCCAACAUGAAUGAAAAAUGAGCCACGCCUUGAGUUAUGAUCAACUGCAUACUUUGCACGUAAUAGGUCAAAAUCUCAAAUGACGUGUUCUUACUCAAAGCUAGAAGAUAGUACAGAACAUCAUCGCUCCAAGCUUACCAAACUACACAUGAAUUGUUAUAUAAGUUUAAUUUUAAUAUUUCUAUAAAGAAGUCAACAAACUAAUUAGAAUAGAGGCCAAUUUAGUAUAUGGAAAAGACAGUGCAUUCACAAUUGCUUUAUUAGGCACACAACUUGGACAUUAUAGAAGGGCAGUGAACAUCGAAGCAUGGCCACUGAUAAGACUUAUAUUCCUAGGUCGGGUAAUUUCCAUCAAUGCAUCUAAUUGAUUGUACCAAAAAACACAA